Molecule: ribosomal RNA, 374 nt
Filed under: uncultured Glomeromycotina
Lineage: Eukaryota; Fungi; Glomeromycota
Description: LSU rRNA
Source: RNAcentral
UUGAAAGGGAAACGAUUGAAGUUAGUCGUACCUUCGGGUAAUCAGCCUUUCGGGUGCGAUUCUGUGGAGUGUGAGGAGCUUAAACACCUUCAUGUUUUGCAUAUUCGUACUCUUGGGUGUACUUGCCCGUGUGGUUGGUUAACAUCAAUUUUGGUGGUCAUAAAAUGACUGGAGGAAUGUAGCUUCGAUCUUGUAUUGAAGUGUUAUAGCCUUCGGUAGAUGUGAUGAUCGAGAUUGAGGAUUGCAACGGAUACCCUUCGGGGCUACCCGUCUGGUCUCUGAUCGUUGCUCUGGUGCCGAAAGCUUGCUUACGGUUAUCAAAGUCGAUGGUCAAUAGGUUAGAACGGGUUAAAUUCGUUAAGGAUGUUGACGUA